GACAGAGGCCUCAAGCGUUAGGCGGAAUCACUGGGCUUAAAGCGUGUGUAGGCGGAAUGGUAAGUACCUUGUGAAAUCCCACGGCUCAACCGUGGAACUGCUUGGUAUACUGCUUUUCUUGAGCCACUUAGGGGCAACCGGAACAAACGGUGGAGCGGUGAAAUGCGUAGAUAUCGUUUGGAACGCCAAUGGUGAAAACAGGUUGCUGGGAGUGUGCUGACGCUGAGACACGAAAGCCAGGGGAGCAAACGGG
Molecule: ribosomal RNA, 253 nt
Filed under: uncultured bacterium
Lineage: Bacteria
Description: partial 16S ribosomal RNA
Rfam family: Bacterial small subunit ribosomal RNA
Source: RNAcentral